RNAcentral lists this microRNA precursor (114 nucleotides) under Otolemur garnettii (small-eared galago). RNAcentral's name for it is "miRNA (ENSOGAG00000021949.2)". Lineage: Eukaryota; Metazoa; Chordata; Mammalia; Primates; Galagidae. The record is from RNAcentral.
UUACUAUUGAGAAGAAUUACCUAAAAUGCUUAUUUAGAAUAAGCCCCUACUCCAGAGCUAGAGAAUCAGAAUUGCCAGGGGUGGGGCCCAGGAAUCUGCAUUUUAGCAAAGGAC